UACGAAGGGGGCUAGCGUUGCUCGGAAUCACUGGGCGUAAAGUGUGCGUAGGCGGGUCUUUAAGUCAGGGGUGAAAUCCUGGAGCUCAACUCCAGAACUGCCUUUGAUACUGGGGAUCUUGAGUCCGGGAGAGGUGAGUGGAACUGCGAGUGUAGAGGUGAAAUUCGUAGAUAUUCGCAAGAACACCAGUGGCGAAGGCGGCUCACUGGCCCGGUACUGACGCUGAGAUGCGAAAGCGUGGGGAGCAAACAGG
RNAcentral lists this ribosomal RNA (253 nucleotides) under uncultured bacterium. RNAcentral describes it as "partial 16S ribosomal RNA". It matches the Rfam family "Bacterial small subunit ribosomal RNA", at positions 524 to 776 of the family's 1533-position model. The record is from RNAcentral.